CACAACUAUAACAUUAUAUCAAAUCCACACCUUAUUAUUCAAAAUAACAUUUAUAGAAAAUUAAAUCUUUAUUCAUCAAAGUUAGGGUCUUACAACCUCCCCUUCUUAUGAAAUUUCAUCCUCAAAAUUAGUGUACGUACCUGGUAUGAUGAAGAGGUAAGGAUACCUCGUUUUCAUUUUAGAUUCUAACUCCUAGGUCAUUUCCUCAAUAUAGUGGUUUCUCCACAAAACUUUGACUUGAGGUAUAACCUUUGAGUGUAGAAUAUGUUCCUUCUUAUCUAAGAUUUUAACAGGUACCUCUUCAUACGUUAAAUAUUCCGCUAUCUCGUCUGGUUCUAACUCAAUAAUGUGGUUUGGGUCUUCCACAUAUUUAUGUAACAUAGAUAUGUGAAAAAUGUUAUGAACACGAGACAUACUUGGCAGUAAGGGAAGUCUACAGGCCACAGUUCCUACUCGAUCGAGGAUUUUAAAUGGACCAAUGAAUCGAGGGUUAAGCUUUCCUCUCUUUUCAAAUCUUGUAACUCCUUUCCAUGGAGUAACACAUAAU
Molecule: long non-coding RNA, 547 nt
Filed under: Panax ginseng (ginseng)
Lineage: Eukaryota; Viridiplantae; Streptophyta; Magnoliopsida; Apiales; Araliaceae
Description: long non-coding RNA (PGIN_LNC012160)
Source: RNAcentral